CCUACGGGUGGCUGCAGUGAGGAAUAUUGGUCAAUGGCCGAGAGGCUGAACCAGCCAAGUCGCGUGAGGGAAGAAUGUCCUAUGGAUUGUAAACCUCUUUUGUCAGGGAGCAAAGUCACCCACGUGUGGGUGUUGGAGAGUACCUGAAGAAAAAGCAUCGGCUAACUCCGUGCCAGCAGCCGCGGUAAUACGGAGGAUGCGAGCGUUAUCCGGAUUUAUUGGGUGUAAAGGGUGCGUAGACGGGAAAACAAGUUAGUUGUGAAAUCCCUCAGCUUAACUGAGGAACUGCAACUAAAACUAUUUUUCUUGAGUGCUGGAGAGGAAAGUGGAAUUCCUAGUGUAGCGGUGAAAUGCGUAGAUAUUAGGAGGAACACCAGUGGCGAAGGCGACUUUCUGGACAGUAACUGACGUUGAGGCACGAAAGUGUGGGGAGCAAACAGGAUUAGAUACCCGGGUAGUC
This 460-nucleotide ribosomal RNA is filed under the name uncultured bacterium. Its description in RNAcentral is "partial 16S ribosomal RNA". It matches the Rfam family "Bacterial small subunit ribosomal RNA", at positions 338 to 795 of the family's 1533-position model. The record is from RNAcentral.